UAGCGCGCUCGAUCUUCAGGUGCCCUCUGCAGCUUUCGCCCAGAGGGUUGAACGGGAAGCCGGUGCGUCACCUGCACACGAGGAACAAACCCGGCGCUGCCCCCGCAACGGUAAACGAAUCGAAGACGCGAUCUGAUGCCACUGUGACAUGUCGUCAUGGGAAGGUGUCGCGUCUGGGCGUCAGGCCCAAUCGUGAGUCCGGAGACCGGCCAGGAGAUCCGGGCCAAC
This 228-nucleotide non-coding RNA is filed under the name Thiorhodococcus drewsii. The record is from RNAcentral. Lineage: Bacteria; Pseudomonadati; Pseudomonadota; Gammaproteobacteria; Chromatiales; Chromatiaceae.